AAUUACGAACAAUUUUCUAUAAACAUAUUGAAUAACAAAUAUAUUUCUAUAAAUUUUAAUUUUUUAUUUUUUUUUAUAAAAGUCUUAUUUUUUUAAAUAUACUCCCGCUAUUACGAUUCAUUACAAAAAUAUAGUUAAUUACAAGUAAAAUACUUAACUCUUAUUAGUACGUAAAUAAGUAAAUUGAUUUUUUUAUUCAUUUUAUAUUAUUCAUGAUAGUAGAAAGUGAGAAGAUAAUCAUUAAAAAUUUUUGAGAGGGCAUUUCUAUAUAAUUCUAACACUUAGGAUUUUUGGAGAGACAUAUCUAUAAUAGCAAAAAUAACAAUUUAUUUAUCUUUUGUUAAACAGUAUUCUAACAAUAACAAAUCAGAGAGGCAGCUAUGAAUAUCAGUGGACUUUUAUAGCGAUGAAUAUGACAAGUUAAAUUUUGUAGGAAUUUAUUUGCUAUUCGAUAUAUUUACAGAAGCUGUAUAAAAUUAACUAUUUUUAAAUAAAAGUGUACAGAACUUAUAUCUUAAUUAUUAUUCAUUUUGAUUUGACUGUCUACUUUUAAAAAAAAUUUAUUUUAUUUUAUUUGAGCCAAUUUAUAAUCCUUUGACUUAAAUUUUGAAUACAUCCAUCAAAUAAAUUAAAUUAAACAAAUUACAAUUUUAGGCACUAAAAUUAAAUUUUUUUUAUUUUUAUAAAUUUAUUUUUGAGUAAACUUUAAAUACCCUCCCUGUGGUUUCAUACUUUCUCACUUUAGUAUCCCGUGAUUUAAAGUGUAUCAAGUUAGUCCCUGUGACUACGCUCUUUCUGACUUUAUUACCUUGUGAUUUAAAAUGUAUCAAAUUAGCACCCUGUGGUUUUAUUUUUCUAUUUUUAUUAUCCAUUUUACUAUUUUUUUUUUAUUAAAUCAGUAACAAAGUUAAAAUUAAAGGAUACUAAAGUGAAUAUUCGAUAAACCUAGGUAAGGGUAUCUGAAGAUUUUUGUAUAUAAUUUAACGAAAUAUUAACGGAGGAAAAAAAAAUCAAUGAUAAAAUUAAAACUAAAGAAUAUUAAAGUAAAUAUUCAAUAAAUCUAGAUAGGCUAUCUGAAGUAUUUUGUAUAUAAUUUAACGAAAUAUUAAUAGAGGAGCCGAUGAGAAGAAAAAAAUGAAAUCACAGGGUACUAAAUUGAUGCACUUUAAACCACAGAGUACUAAAGUGAAAAAGUGCGAAACUAUGGGAUAGUAAAUUGAUACACUUUUAAUCAUAAAAUAUUAAAAUAAAAAAAUAUAAAAUUAUAGGGGUGGUAUUUGAAAAUUUUCUUUUAUUUUUUGGAUCUUGCAAGUUCGAUUCCUCCGCACCAAGUAUUCCCUACAUUUGCCGCCCCUCGUGAACUGCGACGUCCCCCGCACAUGCUCCCGCUCAGUUUCUUUUACGGUUUGUCCAGAUCUCUCUCUCUCUCUUCUUUUUUUUCUUUUUAUUUUUUGGGGGGGGCCCUUUCACGAAAAUGCCCCCCACAUUUACCAAAAUGACAACUUUGUCCCCAACUCACUUCGAAAUUGGAAAUUAAAUUGGAAAUUAUGGUAGUGUUUCGUUCACGGUAUUUCUCAAAAGUUCCUCAGAACUUAAAUCUUAAAACUGAGAAUUUUUAUCAUGUCGUGGUUAGGGGUGGCAAUUCAGUUUGUCGUUCGCGUGCUAGCUCAUGUUCGUCUCGAAAUGAGUUCGAGAUCGAACCGCUCGUUUAGUAAACGAGCCGAACACGAGCUGAAUUUUUCAGCUCAUGUUCGGCUUGAAAUUAUGGUACGAAUCGUUCAUGGUAUUUCUCAAAAGUUUCUCAGAACUUAAAUCUUAAAAUUGAGAAUUUUUAUCAUGCCGUGGAUUCCAGCUCCAUGUCAAUUCGCCAAUAGAUUCGCUGUAUAGACAGAAAAUUCUAUGUACACAGAGCGAUAGAAUUAUUUGUAAACAGUAAAAAAAACAACUACUGCACCAAUGCUGAAAUUAAUUGGGUUUCGGAGUUAAUUAGUGGCGUCAAUUUCGCAUCCAAAUUAAAUCCGACUCGUCUUGACACUUUUCUGAAGUGACGAUCAAUUCAAGGUCUGUAACUUUUCCUGAAAAAUAAUAUUUUAUUUUUUUGGAACACUACAAUUUUCUUAUUUGGUUCGUCGCAAAAAUGAUAGUAAUCUAGAAUUUUUAUAUAUUUUAAUUCUACAAAGCGUAGGAAUUCAAAACUCAUUCACUUUCGUAGUAGUUUCCUUUCUCCACAUUAUGUGGUUUGAUUUUAAUAGAUUAAAGGGUUACUUUUAAAUUUAAUAAUAAUUACGAUGCUUUUUGGUGUAAAAUAAUAAACUUAUUAAUAUAAUCUACUUAUUUUUUAUGUCGAGUCAAACACAAACAUAAUAUAAUACUAAAUAUUCUAGAUACGAACCAAAUAAAUAUUCUUAUGAUAUUAGAAUUUAAUUCUAGAAUAAUAAUGCUUGAGAAAUUAACUUGGUUAUGAAAAUUUUAAAUCGUGCAAAAUUUAGUGGACUUAGCGAGAAAACAACAUUCGAGCAAAAUUUUUUGAUGGAUAAGAAAAAGUGCGAUGCUACGUCCACAUUCUGAGGCCAAUAUUUUUUCUUUACUUAACUUAAAAAUAUAUUUAGAUAUUUACAAACCUUAAAAUGAAGAAUUUUACAUUUACAUAUUCGUGUACAUAUUGCAUUUUCCUACAAAAAAAAAAGUAUAGUGCAAAUCCCCACAUUAAAAAUUUAAAACCCCUUCAAAUAUUUAUAGUUAUUUAUUUAUUUUUUUUUUGAGAGAUAUGUAGCAUGCUACCCGCUUCAUUUAUUUCAUUUAGAAAUAAAAUUUAUUUAUUUAUUUUUUGAGAAAUAGGUAGCAUGCUACCCGCUCCAUUUAUUUCAUUUAGAAAUAAACUUAGCUGGAAAUGUAAAUCGACUAGAAUUCGAACUUGUGUCUCGAGUACCAACCAUCAAGACUUUUGCCACUUACUCUAGGGACGGUCGGUAAUAUUUAUAGUGAUUUAUUAGUUAAGAAGUUGGCGGAUAGAACUCUAAAUUUAAAAUUUUCUCACAACAGGUCGAAUCCACAAUCUCUCAUACACUAAGAAGCUUUAAGUUAAUAUGAAUUUUAAGAAAGUAAUUUAGAAACUUUGGAGAAAUAUAUAUAUGCAUGCAAUUAAUGCCUCGUAAAAGUUGUUCCAUAGAAAGAUUUAAACGGACCCGCCUACGCAAACAAAUUAAGGGACAUUCAAUUUUUCAAUGAACGACCAUAAUGAUAGUGUGACACCUUUUACCUAUGAGCAAGAAGAAAAUAGAGCAAAUCCUUUCAAAAAAAAAAAAAAGAGAAAAUAAUAAAAAGUAGACCAAACAAUGAAAUUAAUACAAUAACUAGCACGUUAUAUUCUAAAAACACACUACUGAAUUAAUAAGGAGAGUUUUUAAGAAGUGAAGGGCUGGAUUAAUUUCGAUAUACAAUUGUGUUAUCCAAAAAAUUGAUCUGAUAUAAAACGAUUCAAAAUUAAUUUUUGUCAUAACUGUAACUACCUAGCCCACUAGCAAUAAUAACUCGUUGGGCCCAACCAUCGGCCCAAAAUGCUUAAGCCCAGUUAUUAUUACUAGUGUUUAAGUUUCUUAUAAACCCAAUAACAACCCCAUUUCCAUCCGAUGUGGGGAUUGGGGUGUCACAAACUCCCCCCGUUAAGGCCCUGACGUCCUCGUCAGUCCAAUCACACACACACAGCCCAAGAUCAAGAUCACCAGGCGAUGUGAGACUCGUCUCGCUAGCUCGUCAUCCAGACCCUGGCUCAGCCGAGACUCGCCACACAUGUCUAGCUGGUGAACCGGCUCUAAUACCAAAUGUAACGACCCAGCCCACUAGCAAUAAUAACUCAUUGGGCCCAACCACCGGCCCAAAAUGCUUAAGCCCAGUUAUUAUUACUAGUGUCUAAGUCUCUUAUAAAUUCAAUGACAACUCCAUUCUCAUUCGAUGUGAGAUUAUUGGGGUGUCACAAUAACGAACACAGAAAACGCCCCCUUGCCAAAAGAGAGUUCAUCUUGUUUAUGUAUGAAAACAUCAAAUUUUUAAUAUUAAUUUUCUGAAGCUGAAGCAUAUAAAUAAACUGAGAUAGUCAAUUCAAAAUGCUCAAAAUGGUAAUAGAACAUUACCACAAGGAUUCUCCUGUGUAUGAGCGGGAAUCUAGGGAAAAAGGGUAUAGUAUAUGGAUAAAAAAUAAUCAACAAAGAAAAGAAAAAAGUUGCAACCUACUUAACUAGGGGGCGACAAGAGGGUGAAAGCCAAAAGACUAGGAAGGGUAAAAGAGGAAAACAAAUAAUAAUAAUAAUAAUAAUAAUAAUUAAGAGCAUGGCUCGUGGGCUCUCCCCGUCACUGAAGCACUUGGCUAUUGAUCGUAUUUUGUAAUUUUUAUGUAUUUAUUUAUCCCACUCUCUCUCUCUCUCAAGAUCUCUCUUCUUUCUCUCCCUCUCUUCUUUCUGUGUGUGUGUGUGUGUGUGUGUGUGUGUGUGUGUGUGUGUGUGUCCCCCACACCCUUCCAUAGAUCAGACUGCACGCCAGAAGGGCCAGAAAGGGGCAGAAAGCAGGGCUAACGUCUUCCUCAAAAGCAGCUCUUCUUCCCAACCUGGAAAGAUAUAACAACAACCUUAAAGCUCAAGGGGUUUGGGGAAUGAGGAGUAUUUAGCAUAUAAAUAAGUCAAUGCAUGCUAUGUGUACCUGUAAUGUGCAGGGCACCGUGAAACAAUCGUUUAUCUUCAAUAGAUUAAGCUGUCAGAGAACGAUCGAUGCUUUCGUAUUCUAUAUCAAGGAUUCGACGAGAUUGGAAUUCAGAAUUUUUGUUAUGAUACUAUUUAUUUUUGAAAGCUUACACUAUCACAGAAAGUUAUUUUUUGUGUCAUAUAAUUCGAUAUGAGUGCAAUGUCUGUAGACUUAAGCAUUUAGAUUCAAUGAGUUUUAAUAGAUAUUUCACAUAUUUAGACUUGCGUGGAUCUUGGACUGAAUCGAAACUCCCUAUAAUGUAUAAUGUCGCGCAAAGAAUAAUAUACAAAAAUAGAAUUUGGAUUGUGAAAACCAUAUUAUAAAGAAAUUUGUACAAAUUAUAUAACAGGGGAUCCUACGGACUGUCGAAAGAAUUUAUAGUAUCAUUCUUGCAAAAAUACUUGCCAACUCGACAGUUAAGUUGCGCAUCAAUGCCAACAAACUAAAUUAGUAAUAAGCUGACUUAUCAAUUAUAUUUCCAGAUUCGUUUACGGUCACAUGUAAACAAAGAUGAGGUUGGUGAGCAUCUCAAGUUCUCAAGUGCAUUACGAACCUCUGCCCCAUCCGUGUUUACUUGUAAUUAAGUACCAACUCAAAAUAACAUUUAAUUUUAACACUCUCUCACCAACCUUUCGCAUGUACUGACCCUACUCAUAAUUUUAUAUCGUAUAUAUAUAUAUAUACCUUCCUUUCACCUUCCUCCUUACUAUUAUUUUAAUUACUAGGAGAUAUUUAUUACAUUUAUGCCCAGUUUCAUAAACCCAUCCCUGUGUAAAAGGGAGAAUUUUCGUAAAUGCCAUUAAUUUAAUAAAUUGAUGCAUCAUGUANNNNNNNNNNNNNNNNNNNNNNNNNUAUGAAUUAAGUUGUUUUAGCUUACUAAAUUGGACAUCGUAUUAAAUUUACCAGUGAAUUCACUGCAUUUAAUAUUUUUUUAUCACCUCUUAGUAACUAAAUUAGAUGGCUAAUUAACAAUUAAUAACUAAUAGAGCCAUUAAAUUUGAUAAAAUUGUUAACUUAAUUAAAUGUAAAAUCUCAAAUAGUUGAAGAGGAUCUGUUUCAAAAUUUUCCAUAGUUAAGGGGGUAUUCAUAAAUUUUUCCCCAAAAAAAACACCCCACAGUAAUUAGAGGAGAUCGAGCACAUACACAGUACCCACAAACACAACUGGCACCGUCAAUGUCAUUAGCGGAAUAUCUCGGGCGAGGGUUAUCCCAUUCCAUUAUGAGUCCUAACCCCUGGUUUUAAUCAAUAUUAUUAUACAAAAAUAUCCAACUCGCAUGGUAAAAAUAGAGGAUAGGAUAAAUGGUGGAAAUUAAUUAACUAAUUAAUUAACUAAUUAAUUAGAAAUAUCAUGCAUGUUGGCUACUUGGCUUUGGGGCUUCUAUCUCCAGCUAACUCUCCGAAUUGAACGGUACCUGAUGUUCCUACUUGCUUUGAUGUGGGCCAUAGUAAACAAUCCCAGUUGAUGAUUAGUAGUGGGGCGAAAAUAAUGUUUGAGACCACAUUGUUUCCUUUUUUUUGUUUAUAUCAAAUUAACCUUUUUUAGAAAAAAAAAUAGAAAAAAAUUUAUUUUACUUUAUUCUGAUUUAGCGCAUUUUCACUCAUCAUCACAUAAAACUGUAUUGUACUUUUAUUUUUAUUUUACUGUAAGAAUCUAUUAUCACAUAGAAAUUUUUGGUUUUCAAAGAAUUUUACUUUACUAUUCUGUUUGAUAGUGAAUUUUUUUUAAUAAAAUAAAAAAAAAAUUCUAGAAUAGAUAAGUAUAGUGGUUUGAACAAGAAGAUAAUAGAGGGGCAAACUAAAGUCUACACCCAAAAAAUGUGAUGUUGAAGACCGUUUUAUAUCUAAUGGUUUAAUUUCAUACCGAGUAUUUCGAUCUGUUUGAAUGUUAGAAUAAGUUAUUUGGUAAUAAUCGAGAAUUGCUGAAUGAGAGCAUAAAUAGCAUCUCUAGAUAAAUAAAAAUAAUUGUGGAAUAAAUAAAAAAAUAAAAGUAAAAAGUAAAAGAGUAAAAGGUGGAGAAAAUUAAACACAUUACAAUUUACCACAGCUGUAGGGGUGGGCCCCAGCGUGUAGAGAGAGAGAGAGAGGGGGGUGGGGAGAGGUGCGAAACGUGCCGGGCGAUUAUCGCGGAUCCCACGGAAACCCUCAACCGCCACCCAAACCCACUCUUCAUAAACCCCACAACCGGCCCAUGUUAGCAAUUAUUUUUUUGUUUUGAGAGAUAGGUAGUAUGAUACUCACUUCGCUUAUUUUAUUUAUAAAUAAACUUAGCUAAAAAUGUGAAUCAACUAAAAUUUAAAUUUGAAUUUCGGAUACCAACCACCAAGUUAUUUUCCAUUUAUUAAUCCCCAAUUAUUAAUCCUCAAAAGAAGACAAAAGAAGAAAAAGCUAAAGAUGUGUUGGAGAAACUCCGCAACCUCUAUUACGACUGCGCUUGAAAUUACCUGCUCAAUUUUUACCAGUUUAACUAUAUUUACUGUUAUAUUAAUUUAUCUUAAUUAGACUACUCUAUUAUAUGAAAAUCUCUAGAGAUACCGACUGUCUAGCGCAAGUGGCAAAAGGAUUGAUUGUUGGUAUCCGAGAUCUCAAGUUCGAAUCUUAGUUCAUUUAUAUUUCUUGCUAAGUUUAUUUCUAAUAAGAAAUAAAUGAAGAAGAUAAUAUACUACCUUUCUCUAAAAAAAACAAUCGCUAGAGAAAGAGAAGAGUGAGAUUUAGGGGUCCUUUUGGUUCAACAUAGUUAUAACUGCACUAUAGUUGUAACUGAUUGCAUAUCAAAAUCCAACAUUUAUUUUGAUGCACUUGAAUUCAGGUGCCGUAACUGUAACUGCAGGAAGAGGCUCACGCUCAUCUAUAUCAAUUAAAAUUAUGUCCAAAUUAGCUGCAAUUUUAACUACACUAUUUGAACAUAGUGAUUUUCAAUAUAGCUAAUUAUACCUCUCUAAUAAUUUUUUAAAUAAUUUUUUAUCUUUCAUCCACAGAGGUAAUCUCACCAUCUCAUAUAUAAAAUAAUAAUAAUUCGUAAAUGCAUUUCUCAACUGCAUAAAACUAAAUAAAGUAGUGAUACAUACAACACUUUCUACUACAUCCAAUCAAAUAAAAAAUAUAUAAAUAUAAUUGAUACAUGUUCAACCUCAUGCAUCUCUAAUUAUGCUGCAUUUAUAAUUACGUAGAACCAAACGACCCCUUAGUCCCGCAAAGACGGCAACAGCAAUACAAAGGAAAGUCAAAGUUGAGUCUAUUCUUUUAAUCCGCAGCAGCAACGCGAUCGUUUUAUUUUACAUAGACUUCAUGCACUCAUCAACUGUUAAGACACAACAAAAGUUUCUAAUUUUUUUUAAUUAAAAAAAAAAAGAGCAUGUAAUGAAAAUAAAUUGAUAAAUAGAAGGUAUAAAUCAAAAUAGUAAAAUUUGAGAGGAUAAAUUCAAACUUCUCUAAAGUGCAGUGGAUCUCCAUACAUUUCUUUUUCCCAAUAGAAAACUGAAGAAGAUGAGUUAAUUAAUUGAAACAAAAGAUUAAUUAAUCUUGGUUAUUUUUCGUCAUUAGUUAAACCAUUUCUUAGCUAAUUAACAGUUAAUGAAAGAUUGGGCCGGGGAAGGAAUCUAAUUUGCCAGGUGGCGCACGAUUCCAAAAUUUCACACCUGCAUGAUCUCCCGAGACGAUAAUGAUUGAGGUCGCCUCGAAUGAUGAGGGAGUUAAAAAACAAAAAGUUAAAAAAACCCUGAUUAGAUUAAAUAAUUAAUGUAGUUUAGUAAUUAACUAAUUAAUUAGUUUAAGAGAUGGUGGAGAAGGAGAUGCAGUAGAAUCUGGGGAGGAUUUUUUGAAUGUAAAUAUUAAAAGGUAAAUUUCAAAUACCAUUUCUGUGAUUUCGCACUUUAUCAUUUUAGUAUUUUAUAAUUUAAAAUGUAUCAAUUUAGUAUUCUGUAAUUUUAUUUUAUUUCUUUUCGUCAACUUCUACUCUAUCUAUAGUUUAUUGAAUAUUUCUUUUAGUACCCUUUAAUUUUAAUUCUGUCACUGAUUUAAUAAAAAAAAAAUUAAUAUAGAGAAUAAUAAAAAGAGAAAAAUAAAAUAAUAGGGCACGAACAUGAUACACUUUAAACNUGAAAGCUUUCCAAAGAAGAAAGAAGUAAAGAUACUGGCUUGACUUUUUAGCUUUCACUGCGGAUAGACUUUUUUUUUUUUUUUUGGAUUGUUUGUUUGUGUUCACAACUAUAAAUGGUGGGGGUAGAGGAUGCGGACUGAGUUAUUACGGUGGGACCCACGGCCCCGGAGCUCCACCGGAUCAGCCCAAGUAAUAAUAGAGUCCCCCCCUCGCUCAUCCCAUCACCUCUCUCUCUCUCUCAUCAACUCUAAUAUACUUUUUAAAUUUUAGGUAAAAUUUACUCAAGUUCUUAAACUUUUAUUAAGUUUAAUAACUAAUAUUUCACUGAUCGUUCCUAGCACAAGUAACAAAAAAUUUGAUAAUUGAUACUCGAGAUUCCAGAUAAUUCGAAACUCAAUUGCUUCACAUUUUCAGCUAAAUUUACUUUUAAAAAUAAAAUUAAAAAAGUAGGUAGCAUGCUAUCCUUCUCUCUAAAAAAAAACGUUCACAUUCCAAAUAUUUAGUUGUGAUUUAUUUUAUUCUUUCGGGAGAAAAAAUACUAUGUUUCAGUAAGAAUGAAUUUAUUGGUUCGUAAAUUUGAAUAAAAAUAUCGAUAUAUCAGUAAUAUUCUUUCAUCCAAAAUUGCUCUGAGAGCUCGAAAACUAAAGUGAAAUCUAUGAUAUUUUUUUUGUGAUUAUUUUCAUGGAAAAGCUCUAAUUGUCCUUCAUCCAUCUCUCCUUUUCCCCUCUCUUUCUCUCUCUUUCUCUCACUUAACUUNAAAGUUAAAAAAACCCUGAUUAGAUUAAAUAAUUAAUGUAGUUUAGUAAUUAACUAAUUAAUUAGUUUAAGAGAUGGUGGAGAAGGAGAUGCAGUAGAAUCUGGGGAGGAUUUUUUGAAUGUAAAUAUUAAAAGGUAAAUUUCAAAUACCAUUUCUGUGAUUUCGCACUUUAUCAUUUUAGUAUUUUAUAAUUUAAAAUGUAUCAAUUUAGUAUUCUGUAAUUUUAUUUUAUUUCUUUUCGUCAACUUCUACUCUAUCUAUAGUUUAUUGAAUAUUUCUUUUAGUACCCUUUAAUUUUAAUUCUGUCACUGAUUUAAUAAAAAAAAAAUUAAUAUAGAGAAUAAUAAAAAGAGAAAAAUAAAAUAAUAGGGCACGAACAUGAUACACUUUAAACCAUAUGUUACUAAAGUAAGAAAGUAUAAAACUAUAAGGGUAAUAUUUAAAGUUUUUUCAAUAUUAAUUAAGGAUAUCGUUUUCUAAUAAUUUAAGGCGGAGAACAAUGAUUAUUUCACAAAGUUAAAUUUUUUUUUUUGUGAUUAAUAUAAUAAUUAAAUUUUAUCCAACAUAGUGAGGAGAUGUGGGGAUUUUUUUUUUUUNNNNNNNNNNNNNNNNNNNNNNNNNNNNNNNNNNNNNNNNNNNNNNNNNNNNNNNNNNNNNNNNNNNNNNNNNNNNNNNNNNNNNNNNNNNNNNNNNNNNNNNNNNNNNNNNNNNNNNNNNNNNNNNNNNNNNNNNNNNNNNNNNNNNNNNNNNNNNNNNNNNNNNNNNNNNNNNNNNNNNNNNNNNNNNNNNNNNNNNNNNNNNNNNNNNNNNNNNNNNNNNNNNNNNNNNNNNNNNNNNNNNNNNNNNNNNNNNNNNNNNNNNNNNNNNNNNNNNNNNNNNNNNNNNNNNNNNNNNNNNNNNNNNNNNNNNNNNNNNNNNNNNNNNNNNNNNNNNNNNNNNNNNNNNNNNNNNNNNNNNNNNNNNNNNNNNNNNNNNNNNNNNNNNNNNNNNNNNNNNNNNNNNNNNNNNNNNNNNNNNNNNNNNNNNNNNNNNNNNNNNNNNNNNNNNNNNNNNNNNNNNNNNNNNUUUUUUUUUUUUUUUUGGAUUGUUUGUUUGUGUUCACAACUAUAAAUGGUGGGGGUAGGGGAUGGGGACUGAGUUAUUACGGUGGGACCCACGGCCCCGGAGCUCCACCUGAUCAGCCCAAGUAAUAAUAGAGUCUCCCCUGGCUCAUCCCAUCAACUCUCUCUCUCUCUCAUCAACUCUAAUAUACUUUUUAAAUUUUUAGGUAAAAUUUACUCAAGUUCUUAAACUUUUAUUAAGUUUAAUAACUCAUAUUUCACUGAUCGUUCCUAGCACAAGUAACAAAAAAUUUGAUAAUUGAUACUCGAGAUUCCAGAUUUGAAACUCAAUUGCUUCAUAUUUUCAGCUAAAUUUACUUUUAAAAAUAAAAUUAAAAAAGUAGAUAGCAUGCUAUCUUUCUCUCUAAAAAAAAACGUUCACAUUCCAAAUAUUUAGUCAUGAUUUAUUUUAUUCUUUCAGUAGAAAAAAUACUACGUUUCAGUAAGGAUGAAUUUAUUGGUUCGUAAAUUUGAAUAAAUAUCAGUAAUAUUCUUUCAUCCUAAAUUGCUCAGGUAGCUCGAAAACUAAAGUGAAAUCUAUGAUGUUUUUUUUGUGAUUAUUUUCAUGGAAAAGCUCUAAUUGUCCUUCAUCCAUCUCUCCUUUUCCCCUCUCUUUCUCUCUCUUUCUCUCACUUAACUUUUUCUUUUUUUCUUUUUUUCUUUUUUUUCCUUUCUCUUCCUAAGACAUUUCUUUCACACGGCUCAUUUGCAUUAUUAAGAGGAAUCAAAACAGCAACAAUGAGAAUACAUGUGCCUGAAGCUGAUCUCGCAAUCAUGGCCGUACACGAAAUUGGAUUCCCAGUUACGAGUAGUAGGCACCCACAACGUAGACCCGGGCCAUGUAAAUAUAUCUCCAUCCAUCGUUGCUUACUACUACUACUAAUUAUGGGGCUCAUUAAGGAUACGGAUUGAGACCGUUAGAACUUAUUUUUUAUUUGAAUUUGAAUUUAAAUUUGAAAAUUUGAUUUGAAACGAAUAAAAUUUAGCUGAUUCGGUAGUUUGAAUCGUUUUAUGAUCUCCUCAGUCAUAUGCUGGAGUGGUUUUAGUCGAUUUAUUUAAAUUUACUAUUUAGCCUACAUUCAAGCGAAUAAAUUACAUUAAUAAGCUUGUAAUUUCUAAUUAGAUUAUAAAAUUUUAGCACAUAAAAUUAAAGAUUAAUUUCAUACAGGUCCCUACAAAAAUAGUAAAUUAUAAAUAUAUUCCUACAAAGUUUAACUUUUAUAUAUUAUCCAUACAAAAGUCUAGAUGUUUUCAAAUAUAUUUCUACCGUUAGGAUCCGUUAGAAAAAAUUUGUAACCAUAAAUGAAUUGGUCUUUUUAUCCUUCCUUAAUUAAUAGUUGGAAUUUUUGAAAUGACAUAUUUAUGAUGGUAAAAAGGUCAUUCCACUUAUAAGAUAAACAGUGCUUUAACGGUAACAAACCAGAGGAGAUAAUAUAUGAAAGUUGAAUUUUGUAGAAAUGUAUUUAUAAUUUACUAUAUUUGCAGGGACAUGCAUGAAAUUAAUUCUAAAAUUAAAGGGGAGGGGUUUCUUUGAGAAUAGCAUGUAGUUGAGGGGGUCUCUCUCUAUUCGCUUACUUGAUGGUAAAAAUCCAAAUUAACCCCUCUAUCUAAAUAAUUAAUUUUUUUUUUUGAAAAAAAUAAAAAAUAAUUUUGGAAGGGAAAGAGUAACCGAAACGGAAAGCUUUCUCCCAUUUGAUGCCAAACCGAUGGGGGGUCUAAAAAGUUGUCGUGAUCUAAAGAAAAACAAAUUCAGCAUCUCAAAUGGCGAAAAUGCCCUCCCCGCCAGGGCUUUUAUAGCGCAGAGAACGCCGACCUCCAGGGGUAUUUCCGACAUUUCGACGAGCCUGCCAGGUUGUUUUGGUUCUUCACGGCACUCCACUCUAAAAUUCGGCGGCACGACGAGGAUUUACUUUUCUUUUUCUAAAUUUUCAUUUUACAAAAAUCAUAUAUAUAUAUACAUUUAAAUAAAUGAGUUAAUUUCAUACAGUUUUCUACAAACAUAGUGAAUGAUAAAUAUAUCCGUACAAAUAUUUUCAAAUAUGCUCAAUUGGUUUAUUACUGUUAGAGAAUUAUUUAUAAUUUUAAUUAUAUCAUCACAAUUAUAUUGCUCCAAAAAUCAUAACAGUAUAAUAUAAGAGGGAUAAGAAUGUCAAAAACUAAUCAGGAUUAAGUAUUCAAUCUAUGGUUAACUAAACUUUUUUUAAAGGAUUCUAAUGGGAAGGAUAUAUUUGAAAAUAUCAGAAUUUUUGUAAAAACAACAUAUGAAAGUUGAAUUUUGUAGUAAUAUAUUUGUCAUUUACUAGAUUUACAAGAACCUGUAUGGAAUUUACUCUAAAUAAAUUUACAGUAAUUUGAACUACAUGUAUUAAUAUAUAUAAUCAAAUUUUUACAUGGCACAGCGUAUAAUUUGAAAACUAUGUUUACAAACGCAUUAAUAACCUUAUAUUUUAA
RNAcentral lists this long non-coding RNA (13139 nucleotides) under Ananas comosus (pineapple). RNAcentral's name for it is "long non-coding RNA (ACOM_LNC006038)". The record is from RNAcentral. Lineage: Eukaryota; Viridiplantae; Streptophyta; Magnoliopsida; Poales; Bromeliaceae.